Molecule: unclassified non-coding RNA, 237 nt
Filed under: Hevea brasiliensis (rubber tree)
Lineage: Eukaryota; Viridiplantae; Streptophyta; Magnoliopsida; Malpighiales; Euphorbiaceae
Source: RNAcentral
UUUUCAAUCACCCUCUUCUCUGGUAAAUCUUUCCCAAGCAACCUGAUUUGAUUUACUAUUUUCAUGAGCCUAUCAGCAUACUCCUUUACUGGUUCACUCUCCUUCAUUUUCAAUAGCUCAUAUUCUCUUCUCAGGUUUAAAACUUGCAUUUGCUUAGUCUUUUCACUCCCUUGAAACUCUUCUUUUAAUCUGUCCCAAGUUUCCUUGCCCGUAUCACAAGCCAUAAUUCUUGUGAAA